GGCGGUUGGGUACGGUGGGAUGGGUCUGUGUUUUUUGUAGGUUACUUUUUGAAUUUUAUUUUGUUUAUAUAUUUUUUUAUUUUUUGUUACAAUAUUUGGAAUUGAAACUAAUUUUGUUACUUUAAAAUUUUAGAAUUUGUGGUAAAAUAAGUAUCAAUUUCAUCAUCAUGUCUUUUUUGGUAAUUAUACAUACUAAAAGCAUUUCUAAUAAAAAUUUACCAAACAUUUUGACUCUUCACUGUACUUUUUCUAAUAUAGUUUACCAAACACCUAUGUGUAUUUUUUCACAGCUAUUUAUUCUCACAACACAGUAAGAGCAGUUUUUAAAAAAAGCACAGUAAUACCAAACUAGUCUUUAAUGUAUACGAACAGUAAGCUAUUUUUUAUUAUUUAU
This 394-nucleotide long non-coding RNA is filed under the name Prunus persica (peach). Its description in RNAcentral is "long non-coding RNA (PPER_LNC008109)". The record is from RNAcentral. Lineage: Eukaryota; Viridiplantae; Streptophyta; Magnoliopsida; Rosales; Rosaceae.